GGGCCGGUUUCGCGUCCGUUAGGCCCCGUGAUUCCCAAGCUCAGAGCGCGGGUUCGAUUCCCGUCACCCGCUCCA
RNAcentral lists this transfer RNA (75 nucleotides) under Streptomyces iranensis. RNAcentral describes it as "tRNA-Gly". The record is from RNAcentral. Lineage: Bacteria; Bacillati; Actinomycetota; Actinomycetes; Kitasatosporales; Streptomycetaceae.